UGUUCGAGCGUCAUUACACCACUCAAGCCUGGCUUGGUAUUGGGCGUCGCGGUCCUCCGCGCGCCCCAAUGUCGCCGGCCGAGUCGUCUGUCUCCGAGCGUUGUGAAUCUUCAAUUCGCUCCCGGGAUCGGACGCGCGCGCCGUUAAACCUCUUUUUACAGGUUGACCUCGGAUCAGGUAGGGAUACCCGCUGAACUUAA
RNAcentral lists this unclassified non-coding RNA (200 nucleotides) under soil metagenome. RNAcentral describes it as "partial contains internal transcribed spacer 2 and large subunit ribosomal RNA". The record is from RNAcentral.